GACGAACGCUGGCGGCGUGCUUAACACAUGCAAGUCGAACGGAAAGGCCCUGCUUUCGUGGGGUGCUCGAGUGGCGAACGGGUGAGUAACACGUGAGUAACCUGCCCUUGACUUUGGGAUAACUUCAGGAAACUGGGGCUAAUACCGGAUAGGAGCUCCUGCUGCAUGGUGGGGGUUGGAAAGUUUCGGCGGGUGGGGAUGGACUCGCGGCUCAUCAGCUUGUUGGUGGGGUAGUGGCUUACCAAGGCUUUGACGGGUAGCCGGCCUGAGAGGGUGACCGGCCACAUUGGGACUGAGAUACGGCCCAGACUCCUACGGGAGGCAGCAGUGGGGAAUAUUACACAAUGGGCGGAAGCCUGAUGCAGCAACGCCGCGUGCGGGAUGACGGCCUUCGGGUUGUAAACCGCUUUCGCCUGUGACGAAGCGUGAGUGACGGUAAUGGGUAAAGAAGCACCGGCUAACUACGUG
RNAcentral lists this ribosomal RNA (468 nucleotides) under uncultured bacterium. RNAcentral describes it as "partial 16S ribosomal RNA". It matches the Rfam family "Bacterial small subunit ribosomal RNA", at positions 28 to 507 of the family's 1533-position model. The record is from RNAcentral.